GCAAUUCAGAAACUGGAAAGAAUCAUUGAGGAGGCAUCGUAUGUACCGCCAGAAACUACACUAGAGAAGAAGACUCAUGUGCAGAAAUUAGUUAGAGUGGGUCAUCAAAAGCGCCUUCUUGCCAAGAAGUACCUAUCAAACAAGAAAAGGGAUAGGAAGCAGGAAUGAGUCAAACGUGGACAGCACGGAAAGUCAACGAUCAGGAUAAAGAAAGAAACGAAUAAUUAUCACAGUCGUGCCUGAACGAGUUGCCAAGGAAAAGCUUUUAUACGAACAUGACAACUCACAGGGGCCACUGAAAACUCUUAAUUUUUAUGUACUGAGAUUUCUUUGAACAGACCGGCAUGAAAUCCCCUUAGAAGCUCUUAGACCAGCCAUCGGAGCAGUUUUCUGGGGCGUGUCUGAAAAACCUAAACGAAAAAAAUCCUAUCAGGCCAUUCGGCCGAUCACGACAGACCACCAAUCAUAACUUGACGUGAAAAACAAGCCACCAGUGCCAAGCGCAGGAAACCGCGAGUUCUGAUUGGAUUUGGGUUUGCUUCUGUGAUUGGCUAAAAAGAGCAGCAUGUUUCACCUGAUUAACUGAAGCAUGCUACGUGAGUUAAAAAACACUAAUCAAGCAAUCAAGUAAAUAUAAAACUUCUAUAGACUAUUGCCAAAUAAACCAAAACUUUUCUCACUCGAGUCAGA
Orbicella faveolata is the source of this 690-nucleotide long non-coding RNA. The record is from RefSeq and is a predicted model, not a curated record. Lineage: Eukaryota; Metazoa; Cnidaria; Anthozoa; Scleractinia; Merulinidae.